Molecule: ribosomal RNA, 541 nt
Filed under: uncultured bacterium
Lineage: Bacteria
Description: bacterial SSU rRNA
Rfam family: Bacterial small subunit ribosomal RNA
Source: RNAcentral
GAACGCUAGCGGCGUGCCUAACACAUGCAAGUCGAACGUGAGGGGGGUACUUGUAUCCCCUGAAAGUGGCGGACGGGUGAGUAAGACGUAGGUGACCUGCCUCGAAGUGGGGGAUAACCAUUGGAAACGAUGGCUAAUACCGCAUAAGCUGGUGACGAUGGGAAUGGUUAUCAGGAAAGCUUUAGUGCUUUGAGAGGGGCCUACGGCCGAUUAGCUAGUUGGUGAGGUAAAGGCUCACCAAGGCGAUGAUCGGUAGCUGGUCUGAGAGGACGAUCAGCCACACGGGAACUGAGACACGGUCCCGACUCCUACGGGGGGCAGCAGUGAGGAAUAUUCGGCAAUGGGGGCAACCCUGACCGAGCAACGCCGCGUGGAGGAUGACGGUUUUUCGGAUUGUAAACUCCUUUCUCAGGGAAGAGCGAGGACGGUACCUGGGGAAUAAGUCACGGCUAACUACGUGCCAGCAGCCGCGGUAAUACGUAGGUGGCAAGCGUUAUCCGGAAUUACUGGGCGUAAAGCGCACGCAGGUGGCGGCUUAAGU